AAGACCUUGCGCUUUUGGAGCGGCCGAUGCCUGAUUAGCUUGUUGGUAAGGUAAAAGCUUACCAAGGCUUCGAUCAGUAGCUGGUCUGAGAGGACGGCCAGCCACACUGGGACUGAGACACGGCCCAGACUCCUACGGGAGGCAGCAGUGGGGAAUUUUGGACAAUGGGGGCAACCCUGAUCCAGCCAUGCCGCGUGAGUGAAGAAGGCCUUCGGGUUGUAAAGCUCUUUCAGCCGGAACGAAACGGUUACGGAUAAUACCCGUGACUACUGACGGUACCGGAAGAAGAAGCACCGGCUAACUACGUGCCAGCAGCCGCGGUAAUACGUAGGGUGCAAGCGUUAAUCGGAAUUACUGGGCGUAAAGCGUGCGCAGGUGGUUUUGUAAGUCAGAUGUGAAAGCCCCGGGCUCAACCUGGGAACU
RNAcentral lists this ribosomal RNA (423 nucleotides) under uncultured bacterium. Its description in RNAcentral is "bacterial SSU rRNA". It matches the Rfam family "Bacterial small subunit ribosomal RNA", at positions 207 to 622 of the family's 1533-position model. The record is from RNAcentral.